CAAAAACAUGUCCUUUUGUGAUUUAUUGAAGGUCUGACCUGCCCAGUGAUAAUUUUAACGGCCGCGGUAUAUUGACCGUGCAAAGGUAGCAUAAUCAUUAGUCUUUUAAUAGAGGGCUGGAAUGAAGGGUUUGACGAGGAAUUUACUGUCUCAUUUUAUUUGUUUUAAAAUUUAAUUUUUUAGUCAAAAAGCUAAAAUAUUAUUGGAAGACGAGAAGACCCUAUAGAGCUUUAUAUUAUGAUAUUAAAUAUUUUUAUAUUAAUGUAUUUAAGAUUUUGUUUUAUUGUGUUGGGGUGACAAAAAUAUAUAUAUAACUUUUUUAUUUAUUAACCAUUGAUUUAUGAUUAUUAGAUCCAUUAUUAUUGAUUACUAGAUUAAGUUACCUUAGGGAUAACAGCGUAAUUUCCCUCCAGAGUUCAUAUUUACAGGAUGAGUUUGCGACCUCGAUGUUGGAUUAAGAUAAUAAUUAGGUGUAGCCGCUUAAUUUAUGGGUCUGUUCGACCUUUAAAUUCUUACAUGAUCUGAG
RNAcentral lists this ribosomal RNA (526 nucleotides) under Onychothemis culminicola. RNAcentral's name for it is "partial 16S ribosomal RNA". It matches the Rfam family "Bacterial large subunit ribosomal RNA", at positions 1808 to 2609 of the family's 2925-position model. The record is from RNAcentral. Lineage: Eukaryota; Metazoa; Arthropoda; Insecta; Odonata; Libellulidae.